This 253-nucleotide ribosomal RNA is filed under the name uncultured bacterium. RNAcentral describes it as "partial 16S ribosomal RNA". It matches the Rfam family "Bacterial small subunit ribosomal RNA", at positions 524 to 776 of the family's 1533-position model. The record is from RNAcentral.
GACGUAGGGCGCGAGCGUUGUCCGGAUUUAUUGGGCGUAAAGAGCUCGUAGGCGGCUUGUUGCGUCGACCGUGAAAACCCGGGGCUCAACUUCGGGCUUGCGGUCGAUACGGGCGGGCUAGAGUUCGGUAGGGGAGACUGGAAUUCCUGGUGUAGCGGUGAAAUGCGUAGAUAUCAAGUGGAACACCAGUGGCGAAGGCGAGUCCCUGGACAACACCUGACACUGAGGCACGAAAGCCGGGGGAGCAAACAGG